This 91-nucleotide transfer RNA is filed under the name Guyparkeria hydrothermalis. RNAcentral's name for it is "tRNA-Ser". It matches the Rfam family "tRNA". From Rfam's summary of the family: Transfer RNA (tRNA) molecules are approximately 80 nucleotides in length. Their secondary structure includes four short double-helical elements and three loops (D, anti-codon, and T loops). The record is from RNAcentral. RNAcentral also lists the same sequence under 9 other names. Lineage: Bacteria; Pseudomonadati; Pseudomonadota; Gammaproteobacteria; Chromatiales; Thioalkalibacteraceae.
GGAGGGUUGGCAGAGCGGUUGAAUGCACCGGUCUUGAAAACCGGCAAGGGUUAAUAGCCCUUCCAGGGUUCGAAUCCCUGACCCUCCGCCA